GUUGAAGAACGUAGCGAAAUGCGAUAAGUAAUGUGAAUUGCAGAAUUCAGUGAACCAUCGAAUCUUUGAACGCACAUUGCGCCCGGCAGUAAUCUGCCGGGCAUGCCUGUCCGAGCGUCAUUUCUCCCCUCGAGCGCAGCUUUCCCCCCCGGGGGAGGGCCGCGCCCGGUGUUGGGGCGCUACGGAGGAGCCCAGCGCUCCCCCGUAGGCCCCGAAAUGUAGUGGCGGUCCCGCCGCGGCGCCCCCUGCGUGGUAGUUUUACAACUCGCAUCGGGUCCCGGCGGAGGCCAGCCGUCAAACCCCCCAACUUCAAUAGUUUGACCUCGGAUCAGGUAGGGUUACCCGCUGAACUUAAGCAUAUCAAUAAGCGGAGGA
Molecule: unclassified non-coding RNA, 375 nt
Filed under: soil metagenome
Description: partial contains 5.8S ribosomal RNA, internal transcribed spacer 2, and large subunit ribosomal RNA
Rfam family: 5.8S ribosomal RNA (bases 1-120)
Source: RNAcentral